This 247-nucleotide unclassified non-coding RNA is filed under the name Hevea brasiliensis (rubber tree). The record is from RNAcentral. Lineage: Eukaryota; Viridiplantae; Streptophyta; Magnoliopsida; Malpighiales; Euphorbiaceae.
AUUAGGAAGCAUGGAAACUCCCGCAGGGUUCCAGAUUAUCGUAGUGCUUUAACCCAACAGCGUCCGCAGGGCAGCGUGCUCUGUUCUCUCUGAUACUGACAUCACAAACACCAAUUGGAGGUGCUUUUGUUCCUUCCAGGUUGUUGGUCACCUUAGUCCUCACCAUCUCAUAUCUUUUGUUGGAUAAAUUGUCAAAAAACAGGGGUUUAUAUAUAUAAACCACAAAAUUGUUGUAUAAGGCUUGAAA